This 374-nucleotide ribosomal RNA is filed under the name uncultured bacterium. RNAcentral describes it as "bacterial SSU rRNA". It matches the Rfam family "Bacterial small subunit ribosomal RNA", at positions 527 to 898 of the family's 1533-position model. The record is from RNAcentral.
GUAGGGCGCGAGCGUUGUCCGGAUUUAUUGGGCGUAAAGAGCUCGUAGGCGGCUCGUUGCGUCAACCGUGAAAACCCGGGGCUUAACUUCGGGCUUGCGGUUGAUACGGGCGGGCUGGAGUUCGGUAGGGGAGACUGGAAUUCCUGGUGUAGCGGUGAAAUGCGCAGAUAUCAGGAGGAACACCGGUGGCGAAGGCGGGUCUCUGGGCCGAUACUGACGCUGAGGAGCGAAAGCGUGGGGAGCGAACAGGAUUAGAUACCCUGGUAGUCCACGCUGUAAACGUUGGGCGCUAGGUGUGGGGGGCCUCUCCGGUUUCCUGUGCCGUAGCUAACGCAUUAAGCGCCCCGCCUGGGGAGUACGGCCGCAAGGCUAAA